Molecule: ribosomal RNA, 782 nt
Filed under: Desarmillaria ectypa
Lineage: Eukaryota; Fungi; Basidiomycota; Agaricomycetes; Agaricales; Physalacriaceae
Description: eukaryotic LSU rRNA
Rfam family: 5.8S ribosomal RNA (bases 243-396)
Source: RNAcentral
CUUGAAUCGUAGCAUUGAGAACUGUUGCUGACCUUGUAAUAAGGGUAUGUGCACGUUCAAAGUGUUGCGUGUUCUAUUCAUCCACCUGUGCACCUUUGUAGACUUGGUUAGCUUUCGCCUUAGGACGGAUAGGAAGGGUUGCUUUAGGGCUCCCUUUGUGUACCAAGUCUAUGUCUAUAUAAUCUCUUGUAUGUCUUAGAAUGUUUUGUUUAUAGGACGGCAAGUCCUUUAAAAUCUUAUACAACUUUCAACAACGGAUCUCUUGGCUCUCGCAUCGAUGAAGAACGCAGCGAAAUGCGAUAACUAAUGUGAAUUGCAGAAUUCAGUGAAUCAUCGAGUCUUUGAACGCACCUUGCGCCCUUUGGUAUUCCAAAGGGCAUGCCUGUUUGAGUGUCAUUAAAUUCUCAACCUUCCCUUCUUUUGUUAGGAGUGCGGCGGAUUGGAUUAUGGGGGUUUGCUGGUCUCUAACGAGAUCAGCUCCUCUGAAAUGUAUUAGCAGAAACCGUUUGACAUUGGCUGCUAGGCUGUGAUAAUGUAUCUACGCUUUGUAGUCAAGUCGGAAUACGAGUCAUAUAUAUAAUAACUCUGGCUUAGCAUUGGUUUGGAAGGUGCUUAACGGCUCCUUCUGCUUUCUUCCUUAGAGAAGAUACUUGUCCGAUACUAAGUAAGAGAGGGAGUUGCUUAGGCUUUUCUUGAUUAUCGACUUUGUAGAAGGUUCAGCUUCUACCGUCCAUUGAGUUGGACAAUUUAUUGACUAUUGACCUCAAUCAGGUAGGGCUACC